This 506-nucleotide ribosomal RNA is filed under the name uncultured bacterium. RNAcentral's name for it is "partial 16S ribosomal RNA". It matches the Rfam family "Bacterial small subunit ribosomal RNA", at positions 29 to 523 of the family's 1533-position model. The record is from RNAcentral.
AGUGAACGCUGGCGGUAGGCCUAACACAUGCAAGUCGAACGGCAGCACAGGAGAGCUUGCUCUCUGGGUGGCGAGUGGCGGACGGGUGAGGAAUACAUCGGAAUCUACUCUGUCGUGGGGGAUAACGUAGGGAAACUUACGCUAAUACCGCAUACGACCUACGGGUGAAAGCAGGGGAUCUUCGGACCUUGCGCGAUUGAAUGAGCCGAUGUCGGAUUAGCUAGUUGGCGGGGUAAUGGCCCACCAAGGCGACGAUCCGUAGCUGGUCUGGGAGGAUGACCAGCCACAAUGGAACUGAGACACGGUCCAGACUCCUACGGGAGGCAGCAGUGGGGAAUAUUGGACAAUGGGCGCAAGCCUGAUCCAGCCAUACCGCGUGGGUGAAGAAGGCCUUCGGGUUGUAAAGCCCUUUUGUUGGGAAAGAAAUCCAGCUGGCUAAUACCCGGUUGGGAUGACGGUACCCAAAGAAUAAGCACCGGCUAACUUCGUGCCAGCCGCCGCCGUAA